Molecule: ribosomal RNA, 253 nt
Filed under: uncultured bacterium
Lineage: Bacteria
Description: partial 16S ribosomal RNA
Rfam family: Bacterial small subunit ribosomal RNA
Source: RNAcentral
UACGAAGGGGGCUAGCGUUGCUCGGAAUCACUGGGCGUAAAGCGCACGUAGGCGGAUUGUUAAGUCAGGGGUGAAAUCCUGGAGCUCAACUCCAGAACUGCCUUUGAUACUGAGGAUCUUGAGUUCGGGAGAGGUGAGUGGAACUGCGAGUGUAGAGGUGAAAUUCGUAGAUAUUCGCAAGAACACCAGUGGCGAAGGCGGCGACCUGGUCCUUGACUGACGCUGAGGCGCGAAAGCGUGGGGAGCAAACAGG